RNAcentral lists this ribosomal RNA (938 nucleotides) under Phaeophyscia orbicularis. Its description in RNAcentral is "eukaryotic LSU rRNA". The stretch from base 585 to 739 matches the Rfam family "5.8S ribosomal RNA". The record is from RNAcentral. Lineage: Eukaryota; Fungi; Ascomycota; Lecanoromycetes; Caliciales; Physciaceae.
GUCUUCCAUGGCAGGCGACGCUUGAGUGAUGCUGGGAGAAGAUUCCUUGGGAGCUCAACCAGCAGCCGUUAUGCCCGCAUUUCGGCCCACAGAUCAUCUUCAGGCGGUCUCCCCUCCCCGAGGGAUUAAGAUAUGACCGGUCCCACCUGGCAAUGGGUGGGAUCUUCGUUCCGUAGGUGAACAGGUUUGCCUACCGCAUUCAUUCAAUGCGCGGUCUGCACCGACGUUAUGGUGCAGGCAACAUCGUCCAAAUGCUGAGCGUGCCCGGCGGAAGCCUAUCACAGUCAGCAGCCAGUGCCCGUCGUCGGCCUGGUGCACAGAUCAACCGACGAUGACCCGUAGAGGUUGAGAUAUGAUCGGUCCCGGCCUGGAAGAGGCCCGGAGUCGCGGAACCUGCGGAAGGAUCAUUACCGAGAGCUCGGGGUCUAACCGGCCCCUCUCUUCACCCGUGUCUACAAAAACAAAUGUUGCUUGGCGGGCCAGGGCCCCGUCCCUGGAUGGGCUUUACCUUCCCACCCGGUGCCCAGCCGAAGGUACAACCAAACUCUGUUAUCAGUGUCGUCCGAGUAUACACAUAAUAAACUAAACUUCAACAACGGAUCUCUUGGUUCCCGCAUCGAUGAAGAACGCAGCGAAAUGCGAAAAUUAAUGUGAAUUGCAGAAUUCCGUGAAUCAUCGAGUCUUUGAACGCACAUUGCGCCCCUUUGGUAUUCCGAAGGGCAUGCCUGUUCGAGCGUCAUUGCACCUCUCAAGCACUGCUUGGUAUUGGGCCGCGCCCCGCUGGCGUGCCUGGAAUUCAGUGGCGGUCCAGCGAGACUUCAAGCGUAGCAAGAUUUCACGAUCCCGCUUUGGAAGGUUCCUGCUGUGUGCCGGCCAGACAACCCCAUUAUUUAUCAAUGGUUGACCUCGGAUCAGGUAGGGAUACCCGCUGAACUUAA